Molecule: ribosomal RNA, 253 nt
Filed under: uncultured bacterium
Lineage: Bacteria
Description: partial 16S ribosomal RNA
Rfam family: Archaeal small subunit ribosomal RNA
Source: RNAcentral
UACCAGCACCCCGAGUGGUCGGGACGUUUAUUGGGCCUAAAGCAUCCGUAGCCGGUUCUACAAGUCUUCCGUUAAAUCCAGCUGCUUAACAGAUGGGCUGCGGAAGAUACUAUGGAGCUAGGAGGCGGGAGAGGCAAGCGGUACUCGAUGGGUAGGGGUAAAAUCCGUUGAUCCAUUGAAGACCACCAGUGGCGAAGGCGGCUUGCCAGAACGCGCUCGACGGUGAGGGAUGAAAGCUGGGGGAGCAAACAGG